RNAcentral lists this ribosomal RNA (468 nucleotides) under uncultured bacterium. RNAcentral describes it as "partial 16S ribosomal RNA". It matches the Rfam family "Bacterial small subunit ribosomal RNA", at positions 28 to 507 of the family's 1533-position model. The record is from RNAcentral.
GAUGAACGCUGGCGGCGUGCUUAACACAUGCAAGUCGAACGGUGAACACGGAGCUUGCUCUGUGGGAUCAGUGGCGAACGGGUGAGUAACACGUGAGCAACCUGCCCCUGACUCUGGGAUAAGCGCUGGAAACGGCGUCUAAUACUGGAUAUGUGACGUAAUCGCAUGGUCUGCGUCUGGAAAGAAUUUCGGUUGGGGAUGGGCUCGCGGCCUAUCAGCUUGUUGGUGAGGUAAUGGCUCACCAAGGCGUCGACGGGUAGCCGGCCUGAGAGGGUGACCGGCCACACUGGGACUGAGACACGGCCCAGACUCCUACGGGAGGCAGCAGUGGGGAAUAUUGCACAAUGGGCGCAAGCCUGAUGCAGCAACGCCGCGUGAGGGAUGACGGCCUUCGGGUUGUAAACCUCUUUUAGCAGGGAAGAAGCGAAAGUGACGGUACCUGCAGAAAAAGCGCCGGCUAACUACGUG